UGUUCUGUGGCUUAGUUGGUUAAAGCGCCGGACUAUCGAUGCGAAGUCGUAGGUUCGAAUCUCACCAAAUAG
This is a non-coding RNA of Aedes albopictus (Asian tiger mosquito), 72 nucleotides long. The record is from Rfam. NCBI's taxonomy places the organism in Eukaryota, Metazoa, Arthropoda, Insecta, Diptera, Culicidae.